AUUGAACGCUGGCGGCAUGCUUUACACAUGCAAGUCGAACGGUAACAGCACUUCGGUGGCUGACGAGUGGCGAACGGGUGAGUAAUACAUCGGAACGUGCCUAGUAGUGGGGGAUAACUACUCGAAAGAGUAGCCAAUACCGCAUGAGAUCUAAGGAUGAAAGCAGGGGACCUUCGGGCCUUGCGCUACUAGAGCGGCUGAUGGCAGAUUAGGUAGUUGGUGGGAUAAAAGCUUACCAAGCCGACGAUCUGUAGCUGGUCUGAGAGGACGACCAGCCACACUGGGACUGAGACACGGCCCAGACUCCUACGGGAGGCAGCAGUGGGGAAUUUUGGACAAUGGGCGCAAGCCUGAUCCAGCAAUGCCGCGUGCAGGAUGAAGGCCUUCGGGUUGUAAACUGCUUUUGUACGGAACGAAAAGCCCUCUUCUAAUACAGGAGGGUCAUGACGGUACCGUAAGAAUAAGCACCGGCUAACUACGUG
Molecule: ribosomal RNA, 482 nt
Filed under: uncultured bacterium
Lineage: Bacteria
Description: partial 16S ribosomal RNA
Rfam family: Bacterial small subunit ribosomal RNA
Source: RNAcentral